CAGCUGCACUCACCUUGUUAGCUGCCAGGUGAGACACGGAAAAGACAUUCAGUCCUCAGAAUUGAUUCCACUCUCGCGUUGAAUAAAGCAGCUCGUUUAUCACUCUCGUGCUACCUGAGUGAUUGGAAGGCAGGGUUUUGCAGUAUUUCUGUAAUCCGCACAGCUGGAAACUUUGCCUGGGUAUUAUUUGCUCAAAAAUUUCAGUCAUUGUUUCUGGUCGUGUGUGUAAUGCAGGCUACAUCAGUGCCAACAAGAGCUGACCCAAUGGAGUUAUGGCUGAUUUCUUAUCUGUUUGAGCCACAGCCGUUUUCAGGCUUGGAAAAUCUAUCUAUUUUUUUAAAAAGUUUGUAAAUUAAAAAAAACAAACACUUGAAUGGAUGCCAGUAUGAAACACCGAUGAGCUAAACUGUCUGGACAGCAUAGCCAAAAUGUUGCAGCAUGACUGUAUACUUUUACAGUAUCUAGAGUUGCAUGGAUAUUAUAGUUUUUAAACUAUUUCUAAUCUUAAUUUUUAACACAGUUGAAAUCUCAUCUCACAAGUUUUAAUUCAAAUGUAAAUGUAAGGACACUAAAGAAGCAAGACAGGUUUCUUGUCUGAUCUCAAAACCCUUUAAGCUCUACGGCAACCACUUUCCUCGUUGUGGAGGUGUAGCUCCAGUAGUUUGGUUGUGACAUCUCCCACUGAGGGCAUGGCAGCGGUGUUACCACAUGCAAGCAGGCGUCAGUAUGUCAGGUAUGUUGGUCAACUAGAUCAACUCAGCCAUUCUCAGAUUAAGGGUGUAACUCUGUACUUUACUGGAGAUUGGCAAGGUUUAUUAAACAUGCUGUCAAUAAAACACUAACUGACAUACAAGUAUUGCACAAUGAAUCCACUGAGCACAUGAUGUUGUCAUGUUUUAGAUACGAGUCACAGAUAAUGAGAUGAAAACUACAAAGUAUUUGUUUUAUAUCAAAGGAAAAAUAUUGCAUGUUGGGUUAUAUUAAAUAUACACUUUUGUAUCUUUUCCAAAAGAAAUACACAUGAUAAAUAAACGAUACAAUUAUUACUGUA
Eleginops maclovinus (Patagonian blennie) is the source of this 1051-nucleotide long non-coding RNA. RefSeq lists it as uncharacterized. Lineage: Eukaryota; Metazoa; Chordata; Actinopteri; Perciformes; Eleginopidae. The record is from RefSeq and is a predicted model, not a curated record. The transcript is spliced from 2 exons.